This 522-nucleotide ribosomal RNA is filed under the name Punctastriata sp. 3 LKM-2011. RNAcentral's name for it is "eukaryotic LSU rRNA". It matches the Rfam family "Eukaryotic large subunit ribosomal RNA", at positions 23 to 672 of the family's 3401-position model. The record is from RNAcentral. Lineage: Eukaryota; Bacillariophyta; Fragilariophyceae; Staurosirales; Staurosiraceae.
ACCCGCGAUUUGCAUAUUAUUAAGCGGAGGAAAAGAAACUAACCAGGAUUCCCCCAGUAAGGGCGACUGAAGCGGGAAGAGCUCAACUUGUGAAUCUGCUUGCCGAAUUGUGGUCUGUUCGUGUAUGUGGCUCGGGCCAAGUCCCUUGGAAAAGGGCAGCUGAGAGGGUGAGACUCCCGUCCUGAGGACUGAGCGAAUUUGAGUCGAGUUGUUUGGGAUUGCAGCUCAAAGMGGGUGGUAAAUUCCAUCGAAAGCUAAAUAUUGGUGGGAGACCGAUAGCGUACAAGUACCGUGAGGGAAAGAUGCAAAGAACUUUGAAAAGAGAGUUAAAGAGUACCUGAAAUUGCUGAAAGGGAAGCGAAGGAAACCAGUUGUGCKYAGUCAUACUCUUGGGGCUGUGUCUGUGCUUUGGUCAGRCUGCUUGUGAUGGCGGAAAGGUGUUCACGGGAGUUGACCGUGGGCAGUUGCGCCAGUUGUGUUGCAAUGGUUUUCUUUACCCCGUCUUGAAACACGGGACAAGGA